AUGCCCUGUGAUAAAGUUAUAUUAAUUUCAUCAUAGUUACCUCAAAAAAAACAAUCAAAAAGAAACUAUGAUAUAAU
RNAcentral lists this small RNA (77 nucleotides) under Parvimonas micra. RNAcentral describes it as "dfrA-dnaX RNA". It matches the Rfam family "dfrA-dnaX RNA". Lineage: Bacteria; Bacillati; Bacillota; Tissierellia; Tissierellales; Peptoniphilaceae. The record is from Rfam by way of RNAcentral.